RNAcentral lists this ribosomal RNA (429 nucleotides) under Chloroflexota bacterium. RNAcentral describes it as "Chloroflexi bacterium partial 16S ribosomal RNA". It matches the Rfam family "Bacterial small subunit ribosomal RNA", at positions 355 to 776 of the family's 1533-position model. Lineage: Bacteria; Bacillati; Chloroflexota. The record is from RNAcentral.
UGGGGAAUAUUGCACAAUGGGCGCAAGCCUGAUGCAGCCAUGCCGCGUGUAUGAAGAAGGCCUUCGGGUUGUAAAGUACUUUCAGCGGGGAGGAAGGGAGUAAAGUUAAUACCUUUGCUCAUUGACGUUACCCGCAGAAGAAGCACCGGCUAACUCCGUGCCAGCAGCCGCGGUAAUACGGAGGGUGCAAGCGUUAAUCGGAAUUACUGGGCGUAAAGCGCACGCAGGCGGUUUGUUAAGUCAGAUGUGAAAUCCCCGGGCUCAACCUGGGAACUGCAUCUGAUACUGGCAAGCUUGAGUCUCGUAGAGGGGGGUAGAAUUCCAGGUGUAGCGGUGAAAUGCGUAGAGAUCUGGAGGAAUACCGGUGGCGAAGGCGGCCCCCUGGACGAAGACUGACGCUCAGGUGCGAAAGCGUGGAGAGCAAACAGG